UAACUUACCAGCCCCAGAUCUGUCACAGAUUUGAAUAAGAGAGUUCCAAAAACGACUCCGCUUCAACAGCUUAACAGACAGCUAACCAGCGAGGAAAAACUAAAACUCAUGACAGCUCCGAUGUCAAAUUGGUGCAGCC
Non-coding RNA from Pimephales promelas (fathead minnow), 139 nucleotides. The record is from RefSeq and is a predicted model, not a curated record. Lineage: Eukaryota; Metazoa; Chordata; Actinopteri; Cypriniformes; Leuciscidae.